Molecule: ribosomal RNA, 389 nt
Filed under: Tremella cetrariellae
Lineage: Eukaryota; Fungi; Basidiomycota; Tremellomycetes; Tremellales; Tremellaceae
Description: eukaryotic LSU rRNA
Rfam family: Eukaryotic large subunit ribosomal RNA
Source: RNAcentral
GACCUCAAAUCAGGUAGGGCUACCCGCUGAACUUAAGCAUAUCAAUAAGCGGAGGAAAAGAAACUAACAAGGAUUCCCCUAGUAGCGGCGAGCGAACCGGGAUGAGCUCAAAUUUGUAAUCUGGCAUCCUCCGGGUGUCCGAGUUGUAAUCUACAGAAGCGUUUUCCGUGCCGGACCGUGUCCAAGUCCCUUGGAACAGGGUAUCAAAGAGGGUGACAAUCCCGUGCUUGACACGACGACCGGUGCCGUGUGAUACGCUCUCUACGAGUCGAGUUGUUUGGGAAUGCAGCUCAAAAUGGGUGGUAAAUUCCAUCUGAGGCUAAAUAUUGGCGAGAGACCGAUAGCGAACAAGUACCGUGAGGGAAAGAUGAAAAGCACUUGGAAAGAGA